AUUGAACGCUGGCGGAAUGCUUUACACAUGCAAGUCGAACGGCAGCACGGACUUCGGUCUGGUGGCGAGUGGCGAACGGGUGAGUAAUACAUCGGAACGUGCCCAGUCGUGGGGGAUAACGUAGCGAAAGCUACGCUAAUACCGCAUACGAUCUAAGGAUGAAAGCGGGGGAUCGCAAGACCUCGCGCGAUUGGAGCGGCCGAUGGCAGAUUAGGUAGUUGGUAGGGUAAAGGCCUACCAAGCCGACGAUCUGUAGCUGGUCUGAGAGGAUGAUCAGACACACUGGGACUGAGACACGGCCCAGACUCCUACGGGAGGCAGCAGUGGGGAAUUUUGGACAAUGGGCGCAAGCCUGAUCCAGCCGUUCCGCGUGCAGGAUGAAGGCCUUCGGGUUGCAAACUGCUUUUGUACAGAACGAAAAGGCUCUGGUUAAUACCCGGGGCUCAUGACGGUACUGUAAGAAUAAGCACCGGCUAACUACGUGCCAGCCGCCGCGGUAA
This 500-nucleotide ribosomal RNA is filed under the name uncultured bacterium. RNAcentral's name for it is "partial 16S ribosomal RNA". It matches the Rfam family "Bacterial small subunit ribosomal RNA", at positions 30 to 523 of the family's 1533-position model. The record is from RNAcentral.